CUCUGCCGCUGCUGCUGCCGCCGCCUUUGCCUUACGGCCUGGAGCACCAGGCCGAAGCCGAAGGGAGCGUCCGGAUCCCGGAUAGCAGCCAGGACCCGGGCCUUCACGUUCCGGCGCCAGGGACUGGACAGAAUGUGCGGCUAUUAGGUGCCCAGUAGAUCGACAGCCCCUCCGUGCCGGCCCUUGGCCAAGUAGGGACUCGGAAGCUACCCCUACGGCGUCCGCGCCCGGAGCCCUGGCUCUUCUACCUGCCUGCAGAUACAAACCCCACUCCCUGCGAAGAUGGUGUACACGCAGCCCCGAGCACAGACCCGAAGCUGUCCACCCUUCUUGGGCGCCGUCGCGGUCUGGCCGCUGCCCUUCGAACCCAUGUUCAGACAGGGUUUCACCGUGUUGGCCAGGAUGGUCUCGGUUUCCUGACCUCGUGAUCCACCCUCCUCGGCCUCCCAAAGUGCUGGGAUUACAGUCGUGAGCCACUGUUCCCGGCCAGAAUUCCUUAGAAGAUGAUCGUGGAUCAUUUCCACAUAUACAAAAUAAAAAUAAAAUUCACUAUGCAUUUGGUCUCAGUAUCAUCUGAGGAUACAUUUCCUAAUUCUCCACAUAUCUCCCCGACCCCCCAAAAAAAGAAAUUAGAUCAGAGAUCUUUGAAACGCUACCUUCUUGGAAUCCUUAAUACUCCAGGCAAGUAACAGCAUGAGUAGCAUGCUGGUGGACUCAUUAACAUUCUGAACUACAAAAGCUCAUAUGGCAACCAUUUAGAGUGCUCUUAAAAGACAAAUUUUCUUAUUUAUAAGCAGAAGCUGGGUCACUAGUGACGGUAGUGGACCAUAGAAAACUUGAAAUGCCUGCCUAUCUUUCUGCUUCCUUCCUUUAGGCUUCCACACCUUUCUUCUCUCUGUUCUGCACUUGGAGAAUCUGGGUCAAUUGUAGAAGAAGAGGGAGAGAAAUAGAAAAUAUGAACAGAAAGAAAUUUUUAAGGAGUCUACGCAUUGUACAGACUGCCGAUAAAGCAGCACCUUCCUACUAUUUAUUUCUGAAUACAGCUUGCAGGGACAUUUUGCCAUGUUGGAACUACAUUUGGAAAGGUGGUUGUUAAACAUUUCCCAGCACACACCUGGAUCUGCAUCUGCUGUGUCAAUUGAACCACUCACUGGUUCUGUGACCUCAG
RNAcentral lists this long non-coding RNA (1168 nucleotides) under Homo sapiens (human). RNAcentral describes it as "non-protein coding lnc-DHRS7-1:15". The record is from RNAcentral. Lineage: Eukaryota; Metazoa; Chordata; Mammalia; Primates; Hominidae.